GUUUUUUUAAGUUGUCACUAAGGUCUUAAGUGAUUGAAAAAUAGAACGAUCAAGUCAAACACUAUGUCUUAAGUUGUUCUGUCUUACCUUUGUUCUAGAGUUUUUUGUAAGUUUCCAAAAUAAAACUUAGGCAUUUGCCUUGUUCUCGAAAGAUAUAGAAGUAGAGCUUUAAAAGUUUUAGCAUACUUACUUUGAAUUUUGCUAUGUCAAUGCUCGGAGCAAGGGAGAGGAAUGUCAUACUCCUAGAUCAAGACCUUUGACCUUUUUGAAAAGUUUGUCAUCUCUUACUGGCAUAUUGCUUAUUAGAGGGACCAUGGGCUAUCAUUUUUUUCUCUCUCUUCUUUUUUUAAGUGGGCACCAAGUACCCCUAAUUCUACUAUCGGACAUGUCUCCAUUUUUCCACUGAGGUGGGUAUCUUUGUACCCCUAAUUCUACUUCGGACACUUGUCCAUUUUUACCUCUUGUCUCACUCUUCUUUUUUUUUUAAUCAAAUUUUUGCAUAGUCUCAUGCCUCUAACGCAAUAAUACUUUGGAAGAGUGAAUCUUUUAUAUUUUUAAAACAAAAAAGAUCUUGAUCUUUGGAGCAUGAUAAUUCUCUCAACCACAACUACAAGAAUUAACAAUGGCUUGAACAAAGCAAGUGCCCACAGUUUAAAUAUUUAUAUCUUAUAAGACUCUAGGUAUUAUGUCAAACAGGAUCUUAUUCAUUUUUUUAUGAAUUUUUAGAUUUUCAAAAGAUAAGAUCUCCAGAACUCUAGCGAAACUUGGAACAAGUUAAAUAGUAGCUCAGACCUUCUCAUAUCAUGUUUGUCAAUUACCUAGACUUGGAUCAAACUUUAUUUUUAUUGUAUUUAAAACUUAGGAUUACACAAAACUAUUGUAUAUUACUCAAAAGAAAAACUUUGUUUGGUUUCAUGGUUAUGCAUUUUUUUAUUUAUUUCUGAAUACUAGUAAAUGAAACCAAGAAAGAAAAGUAAUACUUAUCUAGAUACACGUGGGGGUGCCUCCCCCAAGCUGGAUGUUGACAUAGUCGUUCACUCUUGUGGCCUGCAUGUUCGGUCUCACUCUUCUUAAGCCACAAAAUCCUGCACAACCCAAAUAGACAACAAAACUCGUGGAGCAUGUUAAGGGUUAGGUAAUUGUCUAGAGCUUAUGAGAGCUUAAUGUGAGAAUUCUAUGAACUCAAUCACAUCAAGUUCCUCUACCAGGUUGUUUUGUGGCUCGAGAUAGAUUUUCAAGCGUUGACCAUUUACCUUAAAAGUGUUACCUAUGUCAUCUUGGAUGGUAAUGGCUCCAUGAGUUGAAGUGUCAAUAACCUUGUAUGGUCCAUCCCACUUACUUCGUAGCUUACCAUGCCCAAAGAGCUUAACACUUGAAUUGAAUAGUAGAACCUUAUCUCCAGGCUUAAACUCCUUGUGCUUGAUUCUCUUAUCAUGCCAUCGUUUUGUUCUUUAUUUAUAGAUCCUUGAAUUGUGGUAGGCUUUCUCUCCAUUCAUUUAGCUCAGAUAGUUGCAUCAGACGAUUCUCGCUAGCAAGGUGGAGAUCCAUGUUCCAUUUCUUGAGUGCCCAAUGAGCCUUAAACUCUACUUCCACAGGCAAAUGACAAGUUUUUCCAUAUACAAGUUGAUAAGGUGACAUGCCUAUGGGUGUUUUGAAUGCAGCUCUAUAUGCCCAAAGUGCAUCAGGAAGUUUGUCCUUCCACCCCUUAC
This 1709-nucleotide long non-coding RNA is filed under the name Sorghum bicolor (sorghum). Its description in RNAcentral is "long non-coding RNA (SBIC_LNC010332)". Lineage: Eukaryota; Viridiplantae; Streptophyta; Magnoliopsida; Poales; Poaceae. The record is from RNAcentral.